This 9715-nucleotide long non-coding RNA is filed under the name Podarcis lilfordi (Lilford's wall lizard). Lineage: Eukaryota; Metazoa; Chordata; Lepidosauria; Squamata; Lacertidae. The record is from RNAcentral.
GAGAGCAGCACAACAGUUCAUCAAUGCUGCUCCAACUGUUAAGACUGUUCAGUUAACUGCCAUAACUGUCAACUGUCAUAACUUCCACAACUUGUAUGGCCUCACAGAGUUCUACAGCUCUUGAAAUUAACCUUUUACAUAUGCAUUUUGGAUGCUAACAUCCCACAUUCUGAGGGGAAGAAGAAGCAGAGAGUACACUCGCUAGCUCACAAGUAGGCAUACUUGGUAGAAAUACAUGUGAAACUCUCCAUUGCUGUAUCUUUAUUCUCUUGAAAACCUGAUGAUUUGCAUUGAAAAUUGCAACUGCCGUCAGCUUUAUUAUCAUUUAAUGCAAGUUUGCAUUUCCAGAGAAAGCUACAGCCAAAGGGCUAUAGCAAUAAUUUCAAAAACUGUAGCAUAGUCAUAUGACACAGCAGUUAUUUCUAGAUGAAGUGAAAGUCAAGAAAAUUCCUGACCCAUUCUGUAUAUUCACAAUCUAUGUCUUUGAGAAAUAAAAUAAAAAAAAUUUGAGCUAAAGAGUCAUUCAAAUAUUCUAACAGAACAAAACAAGACCCAUCUUUCCUCUGAAAGUUCUCUCUCUCAGAUGUAGAUUUUGUACACUAUUUACUUUCCCCACAUAAUAAUGCGACUUUAUUCACAGCGUGUUAUCAAAGUUCUACCAGCACAUCCUUGCCCUGGUGUUUGCAGUUGAUGAGAUCAAUGAGAAUCCCAAGGUCUUGCCCAAUGUCACUCUUGGGUUCCACAUCUAUGACAGCUACUAUCAAUCUAAGAUGACCUACCGCACCACUCUGGAUCUGCUGUUUAACUCAUAUAUCUUUGUCCCCAACUACAAAUGUGGCUCCCAGGAAAAUGUAAUAGGAGUCAUUGGGGGACUGAGCUCUGAGGUCACCUUAUGCAUGGCAGACAUCUUGGGUCUUUACAAAAUUCCACAGGUAGGAAUAUUCUGGGUAAGAGAAAAUUGAGAUUUCACACUAUAAUUCACUCUUCAGCUCUCUUUGCAGUAGGAGUCUAUUAAUUCAUAAAUAUGGAGUGGCAUAACAAGGACAAUUGAAAGGGACUUAAAUGUGUGGGUUUGUUGUUGUUAUAGCAUGGGGGUCUCUAACAAUGUGCAUGAGAGGGGUAGGUUACUAAGCAUAUGUGAUCAAUGCAUAUAAUGCAUAUAAGGGAAGAUUAAUUCAAAGGUGCCAGGUUGGUAAAUGGGAUAUCCAGAUGGAAUCAUAUAAGAUCCUGGGGGGGAAUUAUCAGUGGAUCAUAUAAGAUCAGGACAUGUUAACUAGAAAUGCUCCCCAUAUGAAAUAGGAAAUUGAGCAAGAUUGCUUGUGUAUUUUUUAUGUAAGAGGGAGUGGGUUCCCCACCCCACCCCCAAAAAAACAGUAAAUUUGAAAUGUGUGGGAUAAAUAGGUUUGUUAUGAAUACUUCCAUCAAUUCCUUAUGGUUUUCUUUUUUCUUUUUCAGAUUUCAUAUGGUUCAUUUGAAGCAGCCACAAAUGAUCAAAUUAAAUUCCCUUCUUUUUACCACAUGGCUCCUAAUGAAGCUCUUCAGUAUCAAGGAAUUAUCCAGUUGCUUCUGCAUUUUGGAUGGAAAUGGGUUGGGCUCAUCAUUCCAGCUAAUGAAGCUGGAGAACGUUUCUUGAAUACCAUUGAGCCAAUGUUUUUCAAAAAUGGGAUCUGUUCAGCAUUCACAGAAAGAGCUGAAUACCAUGUGCAUGUCACUGGUAAGAUAACUGAUAUGCUGAGAGAGACAAGGAUUUUGUCCCCAGCUUUCAUAACAAGCAAAGCAAAUGCAGUUGUUGUAUAUGGAGAAAGUGCAUCUAUUACAUGGUUGUCAACUGCUCUAAAGCUGAUGAAGUUAUCUGAGUUCAUAUUUUCCCAGUCUAAAAAGAACUUACGUGAAGGAAAAGUAUGGAUUACCACAGCUCAGAUUGAUUUCAUUUUAUAUGAACUUCAGAAAGUUAUUGAUGUUAAUAUACAAAUGUUGCAUGGUGCUAUCUCUUUUGCAAUUCAUUCCAAGGAAGUUCGUGACUUCCCAGAUUUUCUGCAACAUGUAAAUCCUUCCUGGGAAGAGGGAGAUGAUUUUAUCUCAGGUUUCUGGGAACAAACAUUUGAUUGUUCACUUGCACACUCCACAAAGUCAACAAAGAUAGCUAAGCCUUGUACCGGAGAGGAAAUGUUGGAGAGCCUUCCUGCGCCAUUUUUUGAAAUGAGCAUGACCAGCCACAGCUACAGUAUCUAUAAUGCUGUCUCUGCUUUGGCACAUGCCUUACAUAGGCACUUGGCUGGAUCCAACAGCAGAAGAAUGGAGGCUGCAGGCAGACGAUCUCCUCAGAAUAUAGAGCCUUGGAAGGUAAUGUUUGCAGUUACAAAAAGUUUGGUUUGCAAAGUGUUCACUAUUGUGCCCUGCCUUGAUAUUUUAUGUGAGUUGGUAUUUAGUUAUAAAUAAAACAAAUAAAAGGUAUCCUGUUAAAGAAACCAACAAUGAAGAUUUCUACUGCACUGCAGGCUAUGCUUCUUAUAGCAGAACAUAAAUUAAAGAGGGGGUUUGUCAUAAUGUUAACUUAAAAAACAACAACCCUCAGUUGUCAUCUCCCCUCUCCUAGAACACGUUCCUCUUAGAGUUAGAGUAUCUGCAUGGAGAAACAAUUGCACAUAUUUUAAUAUGUGAUUGAUUGGUCCCAAUUAUCCAAGAACAUAUAAUAACAUAAUACUGAUUAAAAAGUGAGAUGGAAAAAAGGCAUAAUAGACGUCUUUUAAUAUGACAAUAUGUAACCUUUCUUUCGAAUGUAUUCAAAAAUUAUCAAUCUGACUGUGUCAUGUAUGGUAUAAAAUUCCUUCAUUUGCAGAAAACAAGAAUGGUCCUCCCAAUUCUACACUUUCAUAAACUAUACUUUGAAUUAAAACUUUAUAACCCUUCGUUAUAAAGAUCUUGAAUGCAUCUAGGAAAGCUGUUCAGCAAUCUUAAUCAGAAUGUUAUAAUACUUUAUAGUCCUUUUGGUUCUCUUUCCACCUAGCUCCACUCAUUCCUACAGAAGAUCUCAUUCAACAACUCUGUUGGUGAUGAAAUUACAUUAAAUGAACGUGGAGAAUUAGCAGCUGGUUAUGAUAUUACAAAUUUGAUCACUUUCCCAAAUAGAUCCUACAUCAGGGUCAAAGUGGGAAGGCUGGAUCCUCAGGCCCCUGCAGGCAAAGAGUUCACCAUUAAUGAUGGACAAAUUAAAUGGCACAGGGACUUCACUCAGGUGAGGAAAUAAAUUUCUCAAAUGCCAACAUUCAUGGUUAUCCAAAUAAAAUGGGAUGCAAUGAAAACAAGGAGGCUUUUUUCACUUAGCACCUGAUUAAAUGUGAUGUUUCCUCGGAGAGAAAAGUAGGGUUUAUAGAGAGGAAAUUCAUAUAUAGAUGGAUAGUAUUUUAAUGGAGAGAAUCUCUAUUUGAACAAUUGGCUUUACUUGUGGGAACACGCUAGCAUGUUAGUUUAGAUUUUAGAAUGUUUUAUCAUUUUACUGUUGUUAGCCUCUCUGAGCCCGGCUUCAGCUGGGGCGGGCGGGAUAUAAAUAUUAUUAUUAUUAUUAUUAUUAUUAUUAUUAUUAUUAUUAUUGAGAUCCUCCUUGUUGCCCAGCUGAUGUUAAUCACAAUUUGCUUUGUAUGUGAUAUUAUAUUGUAUAUGAUAUGAAAAUUGCCUUUCUAUAUAUUGUUUAUUUGUAAGCCACCAAUGAGUAAGCAAUGUCCUUUAAGGAACACUGUAAGGUCUAACACUAAAUAAACAUAUGAGCCACAAUACGAAAAAGAGCAACAUGCACAGAAGACAUCUCGCAUUAAGGACCAAUGGCUAUCAGAUACUGUUGUCAGACAUUCUUUUAUGUGACGUCCCAGAGGCAGAUCUCCGGUUAGUGGAAUCUGAUAUAAUGCUAAGCUUCUUACAGCAUUGCUUGGGCUUAAAAUGAACAUUAUAAUCUUCUGGAGUUUGCAUGAUGCUAGGUGCAGCAGGUAUACAUCUAGGCAUAGAUGCACCUAGUGCAUCAACCUAAAAGGGCAUAAGCAGACCAGCCACAGAAGCCACUUGAGACCCUAGUGAUGAGUUGGAAUCUCAAGGUAGUUCCAGACUACAAACUUCUUCCUUCACAGUGAGUCCAAUCCCUCCCAGAAGGGAUCCCAAUCCUUUGAGAGACAGAAUCCACUCACCCAAAGCACUUUGGAAUUAUAAGGAUUCAGCCACCAUCCUGUCCAACACAACCUUCAGACAGCAGUUCAACACCUUCACUGGUUCUCCUAAUUCCUACGGAAAGCCGAGACAGAGAUGCAGGUCAUCAGUAUACAUAUGAACACUGUGCUCCAGAUUCCUUGAAGAUAGCCCCUAACUGUUUCAUAUAAAUGUUGAAUCACAAAGAUGAAAGAACCUGAAACCUCAUGGGGAACCACAGCCCAAAAACCAUGGAACUAAGCAAGAUGCUCCUAGUAGAACAUUCAUGUAACAAUUCUGCAAGUAGAAGCAAAACCGCUAAGAUAUACUCAAAUCUAAUAAUGCUUAACGGCUGCUUUUUAUCCCAUUUUAUGUUCCACUUGUGCCCAUAUGGAUCAUAGGUUUCACAUUAUUGGUCCUCCUAUUGCUGAUAGAUCCCCUGAUGUUAGAUUAAAUCCCAUAAAACCUUUAAAAACAAAAUUAUUCCUAUAUAUUUGGAUAGGUGCCACCCCUGUCAGUAUGUAAUGACAAAUGCCGUCCUGGUUACGGGAAGAAAAAGAAGGAGAGAAGUAAAUUUUGUUGCUAUGAUUGUGAACCAUGUCCCAGCGGGAUGUACUCAAAUGAAAAGGGUGAGAAAUGUCAUCUUAAGAUAGACCAAAAUGCACAAUUUAUUUAGCCAACUCUGAGGUCCUUAAAAUUUUGUUGUGGUGUGGGGGUUAAAUAAUUGAUUUCUGUAUUGUUGUCAUUGUUUACAAUAUAAUCUUUAAAAAAUCCUGAAGAAAAUAUUUUUUCAGAAAGGAACGUAAUACAUUUUGCAUCCAAAUUCUACUAAAUUCUGAUGGAAUAGAGGUGAUGGUCACUCCACGAAGAAGAAGACAGUUUGGGAAGAGAGUGAAUGUCUCAUUCAGUGGACCUCUCUUGGCUCACAAGAUUUCAGCUGUAACGUUGCUCUCUUUUCACUACAGGGCAUUCUAAGAAAGAGGAGGAGGGCCACUAAAAGAUAGAGAUAUCCUCUAUGUAGAAAUUCCAGAUUUGAUGCAUGAGAUCUAUUUUUGAAAUAUCUCAGACAAAAGUCUUUGAGUUAGAAGAUUGAAAGCUACCCCGGUAAAGAACAUUAGCUAGGUGGACUCCUGAGGACUAAAAUUCUUAAGAAUUGUCUGUAAUUUCAUUUUGUCUUUUCAGACAUGGAAACAUGUAUCAGUUGCCCAGCAAAUAAGUAUCCAAACAAAGACCAGGAUAAUUGCAUUCCUAAGAUACCAAACUUUCUGGGCUUUGAUGAAACUUUAGCCAUCAUUUCAACUUCCUCUGCACUAUUGUUUUCUCUGAUCACAGCUCUAGUGUUGGGCAUUUUCAUUAAGCACAAGGACACCGUAAUUGUCAAAGCCAACAAUAGAAGCCUGACUUACAUUCUCCUUGUGUCCCUCCUCUUGUGUUUCCUCUGCUCCUUGAUGUUCAUUGGAACACCUAAGCAGGCAACCUGCCCACUCCGACAAACAAGUUUUGGCAUCGUCUUCUCUGUGGCCCUGUCUAGCAUCUUGGCCAAAACCAUAUCAGUGGUUUUGGCAUUCAUGGCUACUAAGCCAGGAUCCACAAUCAGAAAGUGGGUAGGCAAAAAACUGGCUUAUUCAAUUGUCCUCUCUGGCUCCACUGUUCAAGUGGGGCUCUGUGGUCUUUGGCUGGCAACCUUCCCCCCAUUCCCAGAUUUGGACAUGAAAUCAAUGAGUGAAGAAAUUAUAUUCUUAUGUAAUGAAGGGUCCGUCCACAUGUUCUACUGUGUUUUGAGCUACAUGGGCUUCCUGGCCACUGUCAGCUUCACUGUGGCUUUCCUAGCCAGGAAGUUACCUGACAGCUUCAAUGAAGCCAAGUUCAUCACCUUCAGCAUGCUGGUCUUUUGCAGUGUUUGGGUCUCCUUCAUUCCAACUUACCUGAGCACCAGAGGAAAACACAUGGUGGCUGUGGAGAUCUUCUCCAUCUUGGCUUCUAGUGCUGGAUUACUGGCUUGCAUCUUUUCCCCCAAAUGCUACAUUAUUCUUGUGAGGCCUGACCUGAACACCAGAGAACAUCUAAUGCAAAGAAAGAUAUAAAUAAUAUAAAAUUUUGUAGUUCCAUGAUUGUUCUUAAUUUUCAACACUGAAAUGUCAAAAAUGUGAAUGAAUGAGGACAUGUGACCAAAUGAAAAUAUUUCAGCUGUUUUGUGCUCUGUUUCUGGGCUGCAAAAUUGUUGCAUGUUAUUUUAAGAGGCCAUUCAGACCAAAUGAGGCAAAUGUUCACAUAACCUUCUGAACUUCAACUGAAGACAAUGAAACUCUGAAAUUGAAAGAGAAACAUCAACAUUAUUCUAUAGUUGUUCUGAUUAGACAGCUAACGUAAAUGAAGUUAAGUAUUAGAGUUGUUUUUUACUAAGUGGUAUAUUAAUUAUUUAAGAAACUAAAUAAAAAACCUAUGUUAUAUUAGUGAGGCCUUAAUUCAACAAUAGAGAGCAACUGAUAUAGAGAAAUACAGUGGUACUUCGGGUUAAGUACUUAAUUUGUUCCGAAGGUCCGUUCUUAACCUGAAACUGUUCUUAACCUGAAGCACCACUUUAGCCUAUGGGGCCUCCUGCUGCUGCCGCACCACCGGAGCACAAUUUCUGUUCUCAUCUUGAAGCAAAGUUAUUAACCCGAGGUACUAUUUCUGGGUUAGCGGAGUCUGUAACCUGAAGCGUAUGUAACCUGAAGCGUAUGUAACCCGAGGUACCACUGUAUGUAAAUGACAGAUGUGUUUGUAGUUUCACUUAUGUUCUUGGUAUCAGUUUAGGAACAUGAGGUCGGACAAGUGUAUAUUGGAAUCCCCAUUUGUGUCUACAAACUAACUCACCCCUAAAUAUUACGGCUUGGUUUCUCCCACAAACACGAGAUGACUCUGGCUGUUAAUUAUUUCAGAUUUAUUGCUAAAACAACAAACUAUAUGGCGCUCCUCUACACAUUGUCCUCCCCAGAAGAUGGAGUUGCCCGGACUGAGCUCCUCCCCCUUCCCCAGCACGGAAGCCCCCAUCUUCUCUUCCAGUAUCUUUUGUGUGUCUCUGCCACUUUUGAAAUCCUGAGAUUUGGCAGAGAGUGUUUCCUGCAUUCCAACGUCUUGCCAACUAUUGGAGUUCUCACACAUCUGACUGUCCCUUUGGUCAGAGCUCAGAUUACAGCUGCUCUCCCCCUCCUCUCUGCUUUCUGCUGUUAACUGUCCUCUCCCUGUGCCUGCUUCUUCUCCUCCUGUCAGUAUCUGAGCUUCGCUGACACUAAAACACACUGCCUUGUGAGCUAUUUUGCUGGAGUCAAAUGGACACAGCUCUGAGAAUAGGCCCAAAUUAUCUUAUGCCCAGUAAAGAGCUCUCACAAACUGGACUGUUCCCCAUACAGUUGGUUUAUUACAAAAGAAUAAAUGAUAUUUUAACAAUAGAUUGAUUAGCAUAGUUCAGAAUAUAUAGAACCAUGGGUGCAUAUCCUCACGCAUUCAAACUCAAAGUAAUAAGUUCCUACACUACAAGGGGAAGAUAAAGGGAUUGAGGAUAACAGUGUGUUGUAUGAUUCCCAAGCAGGGCUGGCCCUCCCAUGAGGAAAGGUGAGGCAACCUUCUCUGGUGGCAAGAUCCACAGGGGCAGCAGAUCCCAAUGUUGAUCUUUAUUCCCCACUUGUUCCUGAUGGAGACAUUCACUCAUUCCUUCUUCCCUGGAGAGGAUGGAGAUGCCAUUUUGUGGCUUACCUCAGGCACCAAAGUGUUCUGGACCAGCUCUGCUCCCAAGAAGAUAGUGAUUGAUGCAGAGUUUACCUGUACCUAUCCAACCACUUACUAGAGCAAUUGCUGCAGCUAUGUGGGCAUAAGGCUGUGCUGCACCCAGGAUCCAGGAUCCAGAAAUUCUAUGCCUGAAGCUAUUGUAGUUCUGAAUGAUAUAUCUGGGCUUCACACUGACAAGCAACUUCACUAAAAUCUAAACUGACUUUGAUUUAACAUCAUCAGAGGCUAUGUCAUUCAAUCCUCCACAAGUAGCAUCUAAUACAAAGAAAGAUAUAAACAGAAGACUUUCUGGGUUCAUACAUGCUCUUUGUAUUCUAAGUCAAAACAUCAACAUAUGUAAAUCAAUUUAUGUAAUAAAAAAUCUUUUAUUUCUGGGUUGCAAAAUGGUUGUCUCUUCUUUAAAGAAGCUGUUCUGACCAAAUGUGAAAAACAGUUGAAAAGCAGAUCCAAAUUUCAACUGAAGAAACUGAAACUUUGAGAUGAAAACAGAAACUUAUUAUUUAUUUUUAUGAAGCUAUAUAGAGCUUGUGGUUGCCAGACCACUAUAAAUUCUGGACCCAGCAAGUGUCAGAAUUUAAUUAGGGUUUGGGAUGCCAAACUAUGUACUAGACAUCUCUAAUCCCCUGAAUCAGCAGCUGAUUAAUAUAAGCUAAUUUCCCAUGAAGUGAUAGGCUGGGUGAUGUGUCAAAGGAUCAAAGGGAACCCAGUGUGAAAUGGCAAAGACAUCCCCUCUCCAAAAUUAUCCAGUUCCCCUCCCCCAUUACAUUCAUAUAAUUGACCUAGGUACCCAGAAGCCAUUGUUCUUGGUGAGAACUUGCUGCUCACACAAAUAGAAAGUUAUCAUGUUGCUUCCAUCAACACCUUGCUGACAAGGUACCCACGAAGGCACAAGAAGCAGUACCUACCUCCCUCCAUUUUCUCGCUUCUCCAUUACAUGGUUGCAUACAAAAAAACAACAAAAAACAAGCAAAAUCAUGUUCUUCCUAACCUAUAAUUCCAUGAGGUGAUAAAUAUAUUUACUUGACAGUUCUACCAAUGAUGAUGCGCCAUGGAGUCUGUAAAAAAUUGCAAGUGAUUGUCUCCCCUGCAAUUAUUAAAAUGACAAUAAUUAAGUCACCUUGCCAAUGCUCCAGAAGGCAAAAUGUCGGGUAGGGGAGAAUCAGCAAACAAGUCUGAAAUGUUUAUAGUCUCCCAGUGUUCCAUAGACAGAAUAAUGCAGGAGAGAGAGGCCAGGCUCUGUGAUUGUACCGGUCAUAUAUCAAAUCACAUCAUCUUAUUUACCAUUCAAGGCAGGUAUUUGCGACAGAGUUUAAUGAUAUGAUGUAUGCAUGUCCCUUUAAUCACUGAACUGGCAGAGUCUGCUGCCUCCAAAUCGAUGCUGGUCAAAUCAGGCUGCUGAUGAUAAUAAUGAUAUUGUAGAGAGGCCAAGAAGAGUCCAUGUGUAGAACCUUGCUGCUGCUGCUUCUCUUGCUCUUCCCCAACAUGGUGUGCCAAGUGCAUAGUGCUCAUUUUACCACAACUAAUCCUGUACCUAUUCCACAUGAGUGGUAUGAGCCAGGUGACCCUGUCAUUGGUGGCAUAGCAUCUCAUAUCCGCUACGUCUUCCCCAAUGUUUUAUUUAAUAUACACCCCUCUGAAGCCUUCAUUAACAACCCACUGUAAGUAAAUAGUCCUUAAUAUGAUUUUAUUAAUUCUUUACAUUUUUAUAUUUGACUGAAAUAUACUUUGUUUUGAAUGAGUAAUUUUAGAAUUGUAUUAAUAAACUGUAUUAAUC